This 119-nucleotide ribosomal RNA is filed under the name Pteropus alecto (black flying fox). The record is from RNAcentral. Lineage: Eukaryota; Metazoa; Chordata; Mammalia; Chiroptera; Pteropodidae.
ACCUAUGGCCAUGCCACCCUGAACAAGCCCGAUCCUGUCUGAUUUUGGAAGCUAAGCAGGGUUGGGCCUGGUUAGUACUUGGAUGGGAGACCACCUUGGAAGACCAGGUACUGUAGGCA